UGAAAUAGCUCAGUUGGUAGAACAGGAGACUCUUAAUCUCAGGGUUGUGGGUUUGAGCCCCACAUUGGGCAAAA
Molecule: transfer RNA, 74 nt
Filed under: Podarcis lilfordi (Lilford's wall lizard)
Lineage: Eukaryota; Metazoa; Chordata; Lepidosauria; Squamata; Lacertidae
Description: tRNA.Lys
Rfam family: tRNA (bases 8-71)
About the family: Transfer RNA (tRNA) molecules are approximately 80 nucleotides in length. Their secondary structure includes four short double-helical elements and three loops (D, anti-codon, and T loops).
Source: RNAcentral